CGCGAAACCUUUACACUGCACGCCAGUGCGAUAAGGGGACUCCAAGUGCGAGGGCAUAUCGUCCUCGCUUUUCACCACCGUAAGGUGGUGGUGGAAUAAGGGCUGGGCAAGACCGGUGCCAGCCGCCGCGGUAAUACCGGCAGCCCGAGUGAUGGCCGCUAUUAUUGGGCCUAAAGCGUCCGUAGCUGGCCUCGCAAGUCCAUCGGGAAAUCCGCGCGCUCAACGCGCGGGCGUCCGAUGGAAACUGCGUGGCUUGCGACCGGAAGACCUGAGGGGUACGUCUGGGGUAGGAGUGAAAUCCUGUAAUCCUGGACGGACCACCGGUGGCGAAAGCGCCUCAGGAGGACGGAUCCGACGGUGAGGGACGAAAGCUCGGGUCACGAACCGGAUUAGAUACCCGGGUAGUCCGAGCUGUAAACGAUGUCUGCUAGGUGUGCCACAGGCUACGAGCCUGUGGUGUGCCGUAGGGAAGCCGUGAAGCAGACCGCCUGGGAAGUACGUCCGCAAGGAUGAAACUUAAAGGAAUUGGCGGGGGAGCACUACAACCGGAGGAGCCUGCGGUUUAAUUGG
RNAcentral lists this ribosomal RNA (570 nucleotides) under uncultured haloarchaeon. Its description in RNAcentral is "bacterial SSU rRNA". It matches the Rfam family "Archaeal small subunit ribosomal RNA", at positions 340 to 909 of the family's 1478-position model. The record is from RNAcentral. Lineage: Archaea; Methanobacteriati; Methanobacteriota; Halobacteria; Halobacteriales; Halobacteriaceae.